Molecule: ribosomal RNA, 123 nt
Filed under: Pteropus alecto (black flying fox)
Lineage: Eukaryota; Metazoa; Chordata; Mammalia; Chiroptera; Pteropodidae
Source: RNAcentral
GUCUAUGGCCAUGCCACUCUGAACGUGUCUGAUCUUGUCUAAUCUUGGAAGCUAAGCAGGAUCGGGCCUGGUUAGUACUUGGAUGGGAGACCAUCUAGGAAGGAAGACCAGGUGCUAUAAGUG